This 446-nucleotide ribosomal RNA is filed under the name uncultured Fulvimarina sp. RNAcentral describes it as "bacterial SSU rRNA". It matches the Rfam family "Bacterial small subunit ribosomal RNA", at positions 8 to 501 of the family's 1533-position model. Lineage: Bacteria; Pseudomonadati; Pseudomonadota; Alphaproteobacteria; Hyphomicrobiales; Aurantimonadaceae. The record is from RNAcentral.
AGAGUUUGAUCAUGGCUCAGAACGAACGCUGGCGGCAGGCUUAACACAUGCAAGUCGAACGGUUGUAGCAAUACAGCAGUGGCAGACGGGUGAGUAACACGUGGGAACCUUCCUAGGGGUACGGAACAACUCAGGGAAACUUGAGCUAAUACCGUAUACGUCCGUAAGGAGAAAGAUUCAUCGCCCCUAGACGGGCCCGCGUAGGAUUAGGUAGUUGGUGAGGUAACGGCUCACCAAGCCUACGAUCCUUAGCUGAUCUGAGAGGAUGAUCAGCCACACUGGGACUGAGACACGGCCCAGACUCCUACGGGAGGCAGCGGUGGGGAAUCUUGGACAAUGGGCGCAAGCCUGAUCCAGCCAUGCCGCGUGAGUGAAGAAGGCCUUCGGGUUGUAAAGCUCUUUUACCAGGGACGAUAAUGACGGUACCUGAGAAUAGCCAGGAUCCC